RNAcentral lists this unclassified non-coding RNA (318 nucleotides) under Herpotrichiellaceae sp. Its description in RNAcentral is "partial contains 5.8S ribosomal RNA, internal transcribed spacer 2, and large subunit ribosomal RNA". The stretch from base 1 to 71 matches the Rfam family "5.8S ribosomal RNA", at positions 84 to 154 of the family's 154-position model. The record is from RNAcentral. Lineage: Eukaryota; Fungi; Ascomycota; Eurotiomycetes; Chaetothyriales; Herpotrichiellaceae.
GUGAGUCAUCGAAUCUUUGAACGCAUAUUGCGCCCUUUGGUAUUCCGAAGGGCAUGCCUGUUCGAGCGUCAUUAUCACCCCUCAAGCCCCCGGCUUGGUGUUGGACGGUUCGGUCUUGGACAGACCCCAGACCCCUCCUAAAGUUAAUGACGGCGGCCUGUGUGACCCCCGGUACACUGAGCUUCUUAACUGAGCACGUAUCGGUUCUAAGGGUGGACAGGACCCGGUCUUCUUCCUGCGUCAGGAAAUUUCUUACAAGGUUGACCUCGGAUCAGGUAGGGAUACCCGCUGAACUUAAGCAUAUCAAUAAGCGGAGGA